AUUUCAGGUAAUUCAAAAAGAGUCCAGAUCCCGCCAGAAAGAGUGAUAAAAAUUCCAAGAACAUCAAAAAUUCUGUAGUUCGAUAAAUUUCGCGAUGCACCUCUGGUUGAGUAAAACGUAGAAUAGUAUAUGUAAAUUCAAACAAAAGCGAAAUUACAGCGCUCAGGAAUAGAAAAAGUAAUGCAAGGACAAUGCAUAGUGGCUUGCACAUUUCGAUGUUCUGGUUCCCUUUCAAAAUUCCAACUAAUAGAAGGAGGUUUUCCUCUGUUUGAGUAAAAAAAAAACAAUAAAUAACGCAAGCUUGAAGUAAUUAUGCAUUUAAGGAAAAAGUCAGAAGUUUGCAACAUAGUGAAGUGGAAUGGAAAGAAGACUUUCAAGAACGUUUUAUGCUGGUAACAAAACAGACGGACGGACAUACGGACAGACACACAGAAGUAUAGCUAGAAGAGUGUCUCGGCUAUCAGAUACCCGUUAUUUAGCUAAUCGAUGUGCAUGGAAGAUGAACAUAGUUUCUAUAUAGUUUUUGAGUUUUGUACACCAGCUUUGCAAUGUCAAUAAAA
This is a long non-coding RNA of Drosophila simulans, 560 nucleotides long. RefSeq lists it as uncharacterized. The record is from RefSeq and is a predicted model, not a curated record. The transcript has 3 exons. Lineage: Eukaryota; Metazoa; Arthropoda; Insecta; Diptera; Drosophilidae.